CACAAAACAAAACACCACAUUGCUCAUUCAUAAGAACCAACACCUCAUUAAUUUACAUUUUCUCAUGAGACUGCAGUAGUUCAGUCACAUCCUCAGGCUCCAUGUCUAAUUCUACUUCUCUUGCUAUUUCCACCCCAUCUGCAGUUACUUCCUCUACUGAAUCUUGGAUCUUUCAAAGUAAUCCAUGAAUGUUGGAAUGAGCUUCUUCCAAAAUCCUGUUAAUGUUGCAUUUUGACCUCCUUCCAUGAAUCACCAAUGUUUUUAACGGCAUCUAGAAUGGUGGAUCCUUUCCGGAGGCUUUUCAGUGUGCUUUGCCCAGAUCCAUGAGGAAUCACUGCCUAUGACAGCUAAAGCCUUAUGAAGUGUAUUUCUU
Sapajus apella (tufted capuchin) is the source of this 373-nucleotide long non-coding RNA. RefSeq lists it as uncharacterized. The record is from RefSeq and is a predicted model, not a curated record. The transcript is spliced from 2 exons. Lineage: Eukaryota; Metazoa; Chordata; Mammalia; Primates; Cebidae.